RNAcentral lists this ribosomal RNA (382 nucleotides) under uncultured Cyanobacterium sp. RNAcentral describes it as "bacterial SSU rRNA". It matches the Rfam family "Bacterial small subunit ribosomal RNA", at positions 398 to 796 of the family's 1533-position model. The record is from RNAcentral. Lineage: Bacteria; Bacillati; Cyanobacteriota; Cyanophyceae; Chroococcales; Geminocystaceae.
CGCGUGAGGGAUGAAGGCCCUUGGGUUGUAAACCUCUUUUCUCAGGGAAGAAAACUGACGGUACCUGAGGAAUCAGCCUCGGCUAACUCCGUGCCAGCAGCCGCGGUAAUACGGAGGAGGCAAGCGUUAUCCGGAAUUAUUGGGCGUAAAGCGUCCGCAGGUGGCGAAUCAAGUCUGCUGUCAAAGGUCGGGGCUUAACUCCGGAAAGGCAGUGGAAACUGAAUCGCUAGAGUGCGGUAGGGGUAGAGGGAAUUCCCGGUGUAGCGGUGAAAUGCGUAAAGAUCGGGAAAAACAUCGGUGGCGAAAGCGCUCUACUGGGCCGCAACUGACACUCAGGGACGAAAGCUAGGGGAGCGAAUGGGAUUAGAUACCCCAGUAGUCA